This is a long non-coding RNA of Propithecus coquereli (Coquerel's sifaka), 753 nucleotides long. RefSeq lists it as uncharacterized. The transcript has 6 exons. The record is from RefSeq and is a predicted model, not a curated record. Lineage: Eukaryota; Metazoa; Chordata; Mammalia; Primates; Indriidae.
CCUGAUCUCAUCAAUCUAGCGGGAGAGACGGGAUAACCUGUCCGAGAGUACAGUGCCACUAGGACUCCACCAGAAAAAAUCACUAAAAAAUUCGCCAAAAAUCGCUUGGAGCAAAGGGCAGUCGGCGGUGCUUCGCCAAGGUUGGCGCAGCCGGUUUUGACCUUUAGGAGAGAGCCGAUUCUGGAGAACAACCUAACUUCUUUGAUUGAAUACUCACAUAUGCUGGAACAUGAUAGGAGAUUAAGGUUUCAUAAUGAUAAAAUGAAGACGAUAAUAAAACAGCCCCCUACUUAGCCCAGCAGUUCUUACCUUUCUGACCUUCUUGAUGAAGAUGUCUUUUGAAAGGUGUACUGCCAGGAACAAAAUGUUUGUAAAUUCAGCUUUUACCAAGGUUUCAUUUUAAACUGAUGCCAAAUAAUUCCAAUAUUGAGCAUCUUAAAUCUGUUACUUAGAGUAUGGAUUGAGUUUGGAGCCAACUCAGGACUUCAGAGGAGUAUUCAGGAAGUGGAUAUUACUAUUCCUUCCUCAUGGAAAAAGUUUUUUCUAAAUGUUAUUUUUCAUUGAAUAUUAUCAAAAAGGAGAAAAAUUAAUGUUCUAAACUUAUGAGAUAGAUUUGUCUCUAGUAAGUAUUAAGAUAUAGCACUUGCAUAUCUGGGAGGAGAAAUGAGAGACCAUCAUCAGUACAUUCCCAUUUACUAAAAAAUUUCAUUUUCUUAUUCUUGUCAAGGAAUUACUUGUAACUUCUGUUUUAUU